UACGAAGGGGGCGAGCGUUAUUCGGAAUCACUGGGCGUAAAGCGUGCGUAGGCUGUUUUGUAAGUCAGAAGUGAAAGCCCAGGGCUUAACCCUGGAAUUGCUUUUGAAACUACAAGACUCGAAUUCGGGAGAGGAUAGCGGAAUUGUCAGUGUAGCAGUGAAAUGCGUAGAUAUUGACAGGAACACCAGUGGCGCAAGCGGCUAUCUGGACCGACAUUGACGCUGAGGCACGAAAGCGUGGGGAGCAAACAGG
RNAcentral lists this ribosomal RNA (253 nucleotides) under uncultured bacterium. RNAcentral's name for it is "partial 16S ribosomal RNA". It matches the Rfam family "Bacterial small subunit ribosomal RNA", at positions 524 to 776 of the family's 1533-position model. The record is from RNAcentral.